Triticum aestivum (bread wheat) is the source of this 135-nucleotide non-coding RNA. The record is from Rfam. NCBI's taxonomy places the organism in Eukaryota, Viridiplantae, Streptophyta, Magnoliopsida, Poales, Poaceae.
GAGGUACUCCCUCCGUCCGAAAAUACCUGUCAUCAAAAUGGACAAAAAGUAAUGUAUCUAAAAUUAAAAUAUAUUCAGAUACGUUCCCUUUUAUUCAUUUUGAUGACAAGUAUUUCCGGACGGAGGGAGUACGUA